GAGGCUUGCCUCUUGGGGUUGUAGGACACUCAACAUGGAGUUACAAAGGAACGGGGUAAAUGAAGCGACCUGGAAAGGUCCGUCGAAGAAGGUAAAAACCCUGUAGUUGAAACUUCGUUCCCUCCUGAGUGGAUCCUGAGUACGGCGGGACACGAGAAAUCCCGUCGGAAGCAGGGAGGACCAUCUCCCAAGGCUAAAUACUCCCUAGUGACCGAUAGUGAACCAGUACCGUGAGGGAAAGGUGAAAAGCACCCCGGAAGGGGAGUGAAAGAGAUCCUGAAACCGUGUGCCUACAAGUAGUCAGAGCCCGUUAACGGGUGAUGGCGUGCCUUUUGUAGAAUGAACCGGCGAGUUACGAUCCCAUGCAAGGUUAAGCUGAUAAGGCGGAGCCGUAGCGAAAGCGAGUCUGAAUAGGGCGCAUGAGUACGUGGUCGUAGACCCGAAACCAGGUGAGCUACCCAUGUCCAGGGUGAAGUUCAGGUAACACUGAAUGGAGGCCCGAACCCACGCACGUUGAAAAGUGCGGGGAUGAGGUGUGGGUAGCGGAGAAAUGCCAAUCGAACCUGGAGAUAGCUGG
RNAcentral lists this ribosomal RNA (577 nucleotides) under Pseudomonas syringae pv. actinidiae. RNAcentral describes it as "bacterial LSU rRNA". It matches the Rfam family "Bacterial large subunit ribosomal RNA", at positions 278 to 852 of the family's 2925-position model. Lineage: Bacteria; Pseudomonadati; Pseudomonadota; Gammaproteobacteria; Pseudomonadales; Pseudomonadaceae. The record is from RNAcentral.